GGCAAAUCCGGAAAAUCAAGGCUGAGGCGUGAUGACGAGGCACUACGGUGCUGAAGCAACAAAUGCCCUGCUUCCAGGAAAAGCCUCUAAGCAUCAGGUAACAUCAAAUCGUACCCCAAACCGACACAGGUGGUCAGGUAGAGAAUACCAAGGCGCUUGAGAGAACUCGGGUGAAGGAACUAGGCAAAAUGGUGCCGUAACUUCGGGAGAAGGCACGCUGACACGUAGGUGAAGUGAUUUACUCAUGGAGCUGAAGUCAGUCGAAGAUACCAGCUGGCUGCAACUGUUUAUUAAAAACACAGCACUGUGCAAACACGAAAGUGGACGUAUACGGUGUGACGCCUGCCCGGUGCCGGAAGGUUAAUUGAUGGGGUCAGCGCAAGCGAAGCUCCUGAUCGAAGCCCCGGUAAACGGCGGCCGUAACUAUAACGGUCCUAAGGUAGCGAAAUUCCUUGUCGGGUAAGUUCCGACCUGCACGAAUGGCGUAAUGAUGGCCAGGCUGUCUCCACCCGAGACUCAGUGAAAUUGAACUCGCUGUGAAGAUGCAGUGUACCCGCGGCAAGACGGAAAGACCCCGUGAACCUUUACUAUAGCUUGACACUGAACAUUGAGCCUUGAUGUGUAGGAUAGGUGGGAGGCUUUGAAGUGUGGACGCCAGUCUGCAUGGAGCCGACCUUGAAAUACCACCCUUUAAUGUUUGAUGUUCUAACGUGGACCCGUGAUCCGGGUUGCGGACAGUGUCUGGUGGGUAGUUUGACUGGGGCGGUCUCCUCCUAAAGAGUAACGGAGGAGCACGAAGGUUGGCUAAUCCUGGUCGGACAUCAGGAGGUUAGUGCAAUGGCAUAAGCCAGCUUGACUGCGAGCGUGACGGCGCGAGCAGGUGCGAAAGCAGGUCAUAGUGAUCCGGUGGUUCUGAAUGGAAGGGCCAUCGCUCAACGGAUAAAAGGUACUCCGGGGAUAACAGGCUGAUACCGCCCAAGAGUUCAUAUCGACGGCGGUGUUUGGCACCUCGAUGUCGGCUCAUCACAUCCUGGGGCUGAAGUAGGUCCCAAGGGUAUGGCUGUUCGCCAUUUAAAGUGGUACGCGAGCUGGGUUUAGAACGUCGUGAGACAGUUCGGUCCCUAUCUGCCGUGGGCGCUGGAGAACUGAGGGGGGCUGCUCCUAGUACGAGAGGACCGGAGUGGACGCAUCACUGGUGUUCGGGUUGUCAUGCCAAUGGCACUGCCCGGUAGCUAAAUGCGGAAGAGAUAAGUGCUGAAAGCAUCUAAGCACGAAACUUGCCCCGAGAUGAGUUCUCCCUGAGACUUAAAGUCUCCUGAAGGAACGUUGAAGACGACGACGUUGAUAGGCCGGGUGUGUAAGCGCAGCGAUGCGUUGAGCUAACCGGUACUAAUGAACCGUGAGGCUUAACCUUACA
This 1417-nucleotide ribosomal RNA is filed under the name Salmonella enterica subsp. enterica serovar Give. RNAcentral's name for it is "partial 23S ribosomal RNA". It matches the Rfam family "Bacterial large subunit ribosomal RNA", at positions 1535 to 2925 of the family's 2925-position model. The record is from RNAcentral. Lineage: Bacteria; Pseudomonadati; Pseudomonadota; Gammaproteobacteria; Enterobacterales; Enterobacteriaceae.